Molecule: ribosomal RNA, 403 nt
Filed under: uncultured bacterium
Lineage: Bacteria
Description: partial 16S ribosomal RNA
Rfam family: Bacterial small subunit ribosomal RNA
Source: RNAcentral
AAUGAACGCUGGCGGCAGGCCUAACACAUGCAAGUCGAGCGAGCGGCGGACGGGCGAGUAAUGAAUGGGUACUGCCCGAUAGAGGGGGAUAACUACUGGAAACGGUGGCUAAUACCGUAUACUGUCGGAUAGCCCAUAUGGGAUUAGCUAGUAGGUAAGGUAAUGGAUAACCUAGGCGACGAUCCCUAGCGGGUCUGAGAGGGUGAGCAGCCACACGGGAACUGAGACACGGCCCAGACUACUACGGAGGCGUGAGUGGGGAAUAUUGCAGGAGGGGAGCAAGCCUGAUACAGCCAUGCCGAGUGUAUGAAGAAGGCCCUGGGGUUGGAAAGUACAUUCAGUGGGGAGGCGUUACCGAAAGAAGAAGCACCGGCUAACUCCGUGCCAGCAGCCGCGGUAAUAC